Molecule: ribosomal RNA, 1718 nt
Filed under: Klebsiella michiganensis
Lineage: Bacteria; Pseudomonadati; Pseudomonadota; Gammaproteobacteria; Enterobacterales; Enterobacteriaceae
Description: partial 23S ribosomal RNA
Rfam family: Bacterial large subunit ribosomal RNA
Source: RNAcentral
GGUUAAGCGACUAAGCGUACACGGUGGAUGCCCUGGCAGUCAGAGGCGAUGAAGGACGUGCUAAUCUGCGAAAAGCGUCGGUAAGGUGAUAUGAACCGUUAUAGCCGGCGAUGUCCGAAUGGGGAAACCCAGUGCAAUUCGUUGCACUAUCGUUAACUGAAUACAUAGGUUAACGAGGCGAACCGGGGGAACUGAAACAUCUAAGUACCCCGAGGAAAAGAAAUCAACCGAGAUUCCCCCAGUAGCGGCGAGCGAACGGGGAGCAGCCCGGAGUCUGAAUCAGCUUGUGUGUUAGUGGAAGCGUCUGGAAAGUCGCAGGGUACAGGGUGAUACUCCCGUACACUAAAACACACAGGUUGUGAACUCGAAGAGUAGGGCGGGACACGUGGUAUCCUGUCUGAAUAUGGGGGGACCAUCCUCCAAGGCUAAAUACUCCUGACUGACCGAUAGUGAACCAGUACCGUGAGGGAAAGGCGAAAAGAACCCCGGCGAGGGGAGUGAAAAAGAACCUGAAACCGUGUACGUACAAGCAGUAGGAGCCCACUUGUUGGGUGACUGCGUACCUUUUGUAUAAUGGGUCAGCGACUUAUAUUCUGUAGCAAGGUUAACCGUAUAGGGGAGCCGCAGGGAAACCGAGUCUUAACUGGGCGUUAAGUUGCAGGGUAUAGACCCGAAACCCGGUGAUCUAGCCAUGGGCAGGUUGAAGGUUGGGUAACACUAACUGGAGGACCGAACCGACUAAUGUUGAAAAAUUAGCGGAUGACUUGUGGCUGGGGGUGAAAGGCCAAUCAAACCGGGAGAUAGCUGGUUCUCCCCGAAAGCUAUUUAGGUAGCGCCUCGUGAACUCAUCUUCGGGGGUAGAGCACUGUUUCGGCUAGGGGGUCAUCCCGACUUACCAACCCGAUGCAAACUACGAAUACCGAAGAAUGUUAUCACGGGAGACACACGGCGGGUGCUAACGUCCGUCGUGAAGAGGGAAACAACCCAGACCGCCAGCUAAGGUCCCAAAGUCAUGGUUAAGUGGGAAACGAUGUGGGAAGGCCCAGACAGCCAGGAUGUUGGCUUAGAAGCAGCCAUCAUUUAAAGAAAGCGUAAUAGCUCACUGGUCGAGUCGGCCUGCGCGGAAGAUGUAACGGGGCUAAACCAUGCACCGAAGCUGCGGCAGCGACGCUUAUGCGUUGUUGGGUAGGGGAGCGUUCUGUAAGCCGUUGAAGGUGGCCUGUGAGGGUUGCUGGAGGUAUCAGAAGUGCGAAUGCUGACAUAAGUAACGAUAAUGCGGGUGAAAAACCCGCACGCCGGAAGACCAAGGGUUCCUGUCCAACGUUAAUCGGGGCAGGGUGAGUCGACCCCUAAGGCGAGGCCGAAAGGCGUAGUCGAUGGGAAACAGGUUAAUAUUCCUGUACUCGGUGUUACUGCGAAGGGGGGACGGAGAAGGCUAUGUUGGCCGGGCGACGGUUGUCCCGGUUUAAGCAUGUAGGCGGAUGUUCCAGGUAAAUCCGGAACGUUACUAACGCUGAGGUGUGAUGACGAGGCACUACGGUGCUGAAGUGACAAAUGCCCUGCUUCCAGGAAAAGCCUCUAAGCAUCAGGUAACAUCAAAUCGUACCCCAAACCGACACAGGUGGUCAGGUAGAGAAUACCAAGGCGCUUGAGAGAACUCGGGUGAAGGAACUAGGCAAAAUGGUGCCGUAACUUCGGGAGAAGGCACGCUGAUGGUA